RNAcentral lists this ribosomal RNA (492 nucleotides) under uncultured bacterium. RNAcentral's name for it is "partial 16S ribosomal RNA". It matches the Rfam family "Bacterial small subunit ribosomal RNA", at positions 29 to 507 of the family's 1533-position model. The record is from RNAcentral.
AGUGAACGCUGGCGGUAGGCCUAACACAUGCAAGUCGAACGGCAGCACAGUAAGAGCUUGCUCUUACGGGUGGCGAGUGGCGGACGGGUGAGGAAUACAUCGGAAUCUACUUUUUCGUGGGGGAUAACGUAGGGAAACUUACGCUAAUACCGCAUACGACCUACGGGUGAAAGCAGGGGAUCUUCGGACCUUGCGCGAUUGAAUGAGCCGAUGUCGGAUUAGCUAGUUGGCGGGGUAAAGGCCCACCAAGGCGACGAUCCGUAGCUGGUCUGAGAGGAUGAUCAGCCCAACUGGAACUGAGACACGGUCCAGACCCCUACGGGAGGCAGCAGUGGGGAAUAUUGGACAAUGGGCGCAAGCCUGAUCCAGCCAUACCGCGUGGGUGAAGAAGGCCUUCGGGCUGUAAAGCCCUUUUGUUGGGAAAGAAAAGCAGCAGGUUAAUACCCCGCUGUUCUGACGGUACCCAAAGAAUAAGCACCGGCUAACUUCGUG